GAUGAACGCUGGCGGCGUGCCUAAUACAUGCAAGUCGAGCGAACAGAUGAGGAGCUUGCUCCUCUGACGUUAGCGGCGGACGGGUGAGUAACACGUGGAUAACCUACCUAUAAGACUGGGAUAACUUCGGGAAACCGGAGCUAAUACCGGAUAAUAUAUUGAACCGCAUGGUUCAAUAGUGAAAGACGGUUUUGCUGUCACUUAUAGAUGGAUCCGCGCCGCAUUAGCUAGUUGGUAAGGUAACGGCUUACCAAGGCAACGAUGCGUAGCCGACCUGAGAGAGUGAGCGGCCAGACUGGAACUGAGACACGGACCAGACUCCUACGGGAGGCAGCAGUAGGGAAUCUUCCGCAAUGGGCUAAAGCAUGACGGAACAGCGCCGCGUGAGUGAUGAAGGUCUGCGGAUCGUAAAACUCUGUUAUUAGGGAAGAACAAAUGUUUAAGUAACUAUGCACGUCUUGACGGUACCUAAUCAGAAAGCCACGGCUAACUACGUG
RNAcentral lists this ribosomal RNA (497 nucleotides) under uncultured bacterium. RNAcentral describes it as "partial 16S ribosomal RNA". It matches the Rfam family "Bacterial small subunit ribosomal RNA", at positions 28 to 507 of the family's 1533-position model. The record is from RNAcentral.